AUGUUUGAGCAAUUUGGUGAGUCUUUGUACAAGGCUGGUUCCUUUGUCACGGAGGAGGUGGAGCAUCGGAGGAAAUAUAUUGUGAGCCAUGUUGAAGCUGAGAGAAGGAACGGUUGGUGCAAAGUCGUUUUCAUAGUUACCGUUGAUGCCGACAUGACGCAGUUUGUGUGCGAGUGCGGCUUUUUUGAACAUGCGGGAUUGUUAUGCCCUCACGCUAUUAAGGUCAGCAUUACUUCACUAACGUGA
Molecule: ribosomal RNA, 246 nt
Filed under: Triticum aestivum (bread wheat)
Lineage: Eukaryota; Viridiplantae; Streptophyta; Magnoliopsida; Poales; Poaceae
Description: partial small subunit ribosomal RNA
Source: RNAcentral